This 3017-nucleotide long non-coding RNA is filed under the name Malus domestica (apple). Its description in RNAcentral is "long non-coding RNA (MDOM_LNC009303)". The record is from RNAcentral. Lineage: Eukaryota; Viridiplantae; Streptophyta; Magnoliopsida; Rosales; Rosaceae.
UGGUCAUCAAUUUUUUAAAUUUAAUUUAAUAUAUAUAUAUAUAUAUAUAUAAUUAUAUUAUAUUAUUAUUAUAGUUUUUAGGGGUAUAAAAUUGUUAAAUUAAUAUAUAUAAUUAUUAUUGUUUAUUCAUACUUUUAUUAAGUAUAACAUAAGAUUUUGUGAUAUCCACUAGUGUAAAUAUUUUAAAUUGAAGAUUGAAUUCAUUCGUUGUAUUCAUAUAGGGUCAAGGAGUGUAGCUGUAAAAAAAUCAUCAAAAUCAGAGUUAAAAUAACCGUUAAAUCGUGAUUUUUCGUUUUAUAACCGUCGAAAAGUUUUGUCCCGUUACUUGAUCUCUGAAUGUUUGUGUUUUGCAAUUUUUGGCGUAUGCGAUCUUGAAGUAUAUACAAACAUGUUUGACGGUUGGAUCGUUGAAACUAGUUUCGUAGAAUGCGUGUAUCUCAUCAAAACAAUAGAUUCACUAACACUUAAAAGUUUAUUCAUACUUUCAUUAAGUGUAACAUAAGAUUUUUUGGUAUCCACUAGUGUAAAAUAUUUUAAAUUGAAGAUCGAAUUCAAUCAUUGUAUUCAUAUAGGGUCAAGGAGUAUAGCUGCAAAAAAUCAUCAAAAUUGGAGUUAAAAUAACCAUUAAAUCGUGAUUUUUCUUUUUAUAACCGUCGAAAUGUUUUAUCCCAUUACUUGAUCUCUGAAUGUUUUUUUUUUUUGCAAUUUUUGGCGUAUGCGAUCUUGAAGUAUAUACAAACAUAUUUGAUGGUUGGAUCAUUGAAACUAGUUUCGUAGAUUGAGUAUCCCAUCAAAAUAAUAGAUUCACUAAUACUUAAGAGUUUAUUCAUACUUUCAUUAAGUAUAACAUAAGAUUUUGUGGUAUCCACUACUGUAAAUAUUUUAAAUUGAAGAUCGAAUUCAAUCAUUGUAUUCAUAUAGGGUCAAGGAGUGUAGCUGUAAAAAAUCAUCAAAAUCGGAGUUAAAAUAACCGUUAAAUCGUGAUUUUUCGUUUAUAACAGUCGAAAAGCUUUGUCCCAUUACUUGAUCUCUGAAUGUUUGUUUUUUUCAAUUUUUGGCGUAUGCGAUCUCGAAGUAUAUACAAACAUGUUUGACAGUUAGAUCAUUGAAACUAGUUUUGUAGAAUGAGUAUCCCAUCAAAACAAUAGAUUCACUAAUACUUAAGAGUUUAUUCCUCCACUAGUGUAAAUAUUUUAAAUUGAAGAUCGAAUUCAUUCAUUGUAUUCAUAUAGGAUUAAGGAGUGUAGCUAUAAAAAAUAAUCAAAAUCGGAGUUAAAAUAACCAUUAAAUCUUGAUUUUUCAUUUUAUAACCGUAAAAAAGUUUUGUCCCAUUACUUGAUCUCUGAAUGUUUGUUUUUUACAAUUUUUGGCAUAUGCGAUCUCGAAGUAUGUAAAAACAUGUUUGACGGUUGGAUCGUUGAAACUAGUUUCAUAGAAUGCGUGUAUCUCAUCAAAACCAUAGAUUCACUAACACUUAAAAGUUUAUUCAUACUUUCAUUAAGUAUAACAUAAGAUUUUUUGGUAUCCACUAGUGUAAAUAUUUUAAAUUGAAGAUCGAAUUCAAUCAUUGUAUUCAUAUAGGGUGAAGGAGUCUAGUUGCAAAAAAUCAUCGAAAUCGGAGUUAAAAUGACCGUUAAAUCGUGAUUUUUCUUUUUAUAACCAUCGAAACAUUUUGUCUCGUAACUUGAUCUCUGAAUGUUUGUUUUUUGCAAUUUUUGGUGUAUGCGAUCUCAAAAUAAUCAAAAUCGGAGUUAAAACAACCGUUAAAUCGUGAUUUUUCGUUUAUAACCGUCAAAAAGUUUUGUCCUGUUACUUGAUCUCUGAAUGUUUGUUUUUUUGCAAUUUUUGGUGUAUGCGAUCUCGAAGUAUAUACAAACAUGUUUGACGGUUGGAUCAUUGAAACUAGUUUCGUAGAAUGAGUAUCCCAUCAAAAUAAUAGAUUCAUUAAUACUUAAGAGUUUAUUCAUACUUACAUUAAGUAUAACAUAAAAUUUUGUGGUAUCCACUAGUGUAAAUAUUUUAAAUUGAAGAUCGAAUUCAUUCAUUGUAUUCAUAUAAGGUCAAGGAGUGUAGCGGUAAAAAAUAAUCAAAAUCGGAGUUAAAAUAACCGUUAAAUCGUGAUUUUUCGUUUAUAACCGUCGAAAAGUUUUGUCCUGUUACUUGAUCUCUGAAUGUUUGUUUUUUUGCAAUUUUUGGUGUAUGCGAUCUCGAAGUAUAUACAAACAUGUUUGACGGUUGGAUCAUUGAAACUAGUUUCGUAGAAUGAGUAUCCCAUCAAAACAAUAAAUUCACUAAUACUUAAGAGUUUAUUCAUACUUUCAUUAAGUAUAACAUAAGAUUUUGUGAUAUCCACUAGUGUAAAUAUUUUAAAUUGAAGAUCGAAUUCAUUCAUUGUAUUCAUAUAGGAUUAAGGAGUGCAGCUAUAAAAAAUAAUCAAAAUCGGAGUUAAAAUAACCGUUAAAUCGUGAUUUUUCGUUUUAUAUCCAUCGAAAAGUUUUGUUCGGUUACUUGAUCUCUGAAUGUUUGCUUUUUGCGAUUUUUUGCUGAUAUGAUCUCGAAGCAUAUACAAACAAGUUUGACGGUUGCAUCGUUGAAAUUAGUUUCGUAUAACUCGUAUCCCAUCAAGUUCAAUGGUGUGUGUGUGUGUGUGUGUAUAUUAAGUAGAUUUAAUUCUAUUUAUUUUGUACGUAUAAUUGACCGGUACACGGAGUAGAACAUCACGUGUCAUUAUAAAAAUAGUGGGAUAUGUCAUAUGUGUGUUAAAAAGUUAAUAACUUAAAAAAAAAAAUUUUCUCACCACUUUUAUUAAUUUUCAUUUUUCCCUCUCAUUUUUGUUUCCUUUUCAGCUUUUCAUAUAAUUUUUAUUUUUCCCUCCGUUCUUUUUCUUCAAAGAGGGGCAGCCUACCCAUCUUUCCCUCUCUUUUUUGUUUCAUUUUCAGCUUUUCUUAUAAUUUUUAUUUUCCCUCCCUUUUUCUUCAAAGGGCCGCAGAAAUGGAAUGGAAUUAUGGAAUCAAUGG